RNAcentral lists this ribosomal RNA (444 nucleotides) under uncultured bacterium. RNAcentral's name for it is "partial 16S ribosomal RNA". It matches the Rfam family "Bacterial small subunit ribosomal RNA", at positions 354 to 796 of the family's 1533-position model. The record is from RNAcentral.
GUAGGGAAUAUUGGGCAAUGGUCGGAAGACUGACCCAGCCAUGCCGCGUGCAGGAAGACGGCCCUCUGGGUUGUAAACUGCUUUUAUCUGGGAAGAAAAAGGCCAUGCGUGGCAAAUUGCCGGUACCAGAUGAAUAAGCACCGGCUAACUCCGUGCCAGCAGCCGCGGUAAUACGGAGGGUGCAAGCGUUGUCCGGAUUUAUUGGGUUUAAAGGGUGCGUAGGCGGCUGAAUAAGUCAGCGGUGAAAGACUCCGGCUUAACCGGAGCAGUGCCGUUGAUACUGGUUAGCUUGAGUGUUGGAGGGGUACAUGGAAUUGAUGGUGUAGCGGUGAAAUGCAUAGAUACCAUCAGGAACACCGAUAGCGAAGGCAUUGUACUGGCCAACAACUGACGCUGAUGCACGACAGUGUGGGGAUCGAACAGGAUUAGAAACCCCGGUAGUCC